Molecule: transfer RNA, 86 nt
Filed under: Deltaproteobacteria bacterium
Lineage: Bacteria; Pseudomonadati; Myxococcota; Myxococcia
Description: tRNA-Leu
Rfam family: tRNA
About the family: Transfer RNA (tRNA) molecules are approximately 80 nucleotides in length. Their secondary structure includes four short double-helical elements and three loops (D, anti-codon, and T loops).
Source: RNAcentral
GCCGGGGUGGUGGAACGGUAGACACGGCGGAUUCAAAAUCCGCUGCGCACGAGCGCGUGAGGGUUCAAAUCCCUCCCCCGGCACCG